Molecule: ribosomal RNA, 301 nt
Filed under: uncultured bacterium
Lineage: Bacteria
Description: partial 16S ribosomal RNA
Rfam family: Bacterial small subunit ribosomal RNA
Source: RNAcentral
CAGUAGCCACGGUAAAACGAAGGGUGCAAGCGUUACUCGGAAUUACUGGGCGUAAAGCGUGCGUAGGUGGUGGUUUAAGUCCGUUGUGAAAGCCCUGGGCUCAACCUGGGAAUUGCAGUGGAUACUGGGUCACUAGAGUGUGGUAGAGGAUAGUGGAAUUUCCGGUGUAGCAGUGAAAUGCGUAGAGAUCGGAAGGAACAUCUGUGGCGAAGGCGACUAUCUGGGCCAACACUGACACUGAGGCACGAAAGCGUGGGGAGCAAACAGGAUUAGAUACCCCAGUAGUCCCUGUCUCUUAUAC